CUGCGAAUGGCUCAUUAUAUAAGUUAUCGUUUAUUUGAUAGUACCUUACUACUUGGAUAACCGUGGUAAUUCUAGAGCUAAUACAUGCUGCCAACCCCGACUCCGGAAGGGGCGUAUUUAUUAGAUCCAAAGCCAACGCCCUCCUGGGGCUCCUUGGUGAUUCAUGAUAACUCUUCGAAUCGCACGGCCUUGCGCCGGCGAUGGUUCAUUCAAAUUUCUUCCCUAUCAACUUUCGAUGUUUGGGUAUUGGCCAAACAUGGUCGCAACGGGUAACGGAGGGUUAGGGCUCGACCCCGGAGAAGGAGCCUGAGAGACGGCUACUACAUCCAAGGAAGGCAGCAGGCGCGCAAAUUACCCAAUCCCGACACGGGGAGGUAGUGACAAUAAAUACUGAUACAGGGCUCUUUAGGGUCUUGUAAUUGGAAUGAGUACAGUUUAAACCCCUUAGCGAGGAACAAUUGGAGGGCAAGUCUGGUGCCAGCAGCCGCGGUAAUUCCAGCUCCAAUAGCGUAUAUUAAAGUUGUUGUGGUUAAAAAGCUCGUAGUUGAACCUUGGGCCUGGCUGGCCGGUCCGCCUCACCGCGUGCACUGGUCCGGCCGGGCCUUUCCCUCUGCGGAACCCCAUGCCCUUCGCUGGGCGUGGCGGGGAGGCAGGACGUUUACUUUGAAAAAAUUAGAGUGCUCAAGGCAGGCCUAUGCUCGGAUACAUUAGCAUGGAAUAAUGAAACAGGACGCGCGGUUCCGUUUCGUUGGCUCUAGGGACCGCCGUAAUGAUCGAUAGGGACAGUCGGGGGCAUCAGUAUUCAGCUGUCAGAGGUGAAAUUCUUGGAUUUGCUGAAGACUAACUACUGCGAAAGCAUUUGCCAAGGAUGUUUUCAUUAAUCAGGAACGAAAGUUAGGGGAUCGAAGACGAUCAGAUACCGUCGUAGUCCUAACCAUAAACUAUGCCGACUAGGGAUCGGACGAUGUUGUCUCUUGACGCGUUCGGCACCUUGCGAGAAAUC
RNAcentral lists this ribosomal RNA (1003 nucleotides) under Gibellula leiopus. RNAcentral describes it as "SSU rRNA". It matches the Rfam family "Eukaryotic small subunit ribosomal RNA", at positions 87 to 1099 of the family's 1831-position model. Lineage: Eukaryota; Fungi; Ascomycota; Sordariomycetes; Hypocreales; Cordycipitaceae. The record is from RNAcentral.